GCCUGCCCAGUGACGACCGUUAAACGGCCGCGGUAUCCUGACCGUGCAAAGGUAGCAUAAUCACUUGUUCCCUAAAUAGGGACUUGUAUGAAUGGCCACACGAGGGUUUUACUGUCUCUUACUUCCAAUCAGUGAAAUUGACCUUCCCGUGAAGAGGCGGGAAUAUAUUAAUAAGACGAGAAGACCCUAUGGAGCUUUAACUACUUAGCCCAAAAGAAAUAAAUUUCAUUGCUAAGGAAACAACAAUACUCUUUAUGGGCUAACAGCUUUGGUUGGGGUGACCUCGGAGAACAAAAAAUCCUCCGAGCGAUUUUAAAGACUAGACCUACAAGUCGAAUCACACAAUCGCUUAUUGAUCCAAAAAAUUGAUCAACGGAACAAGUUACCCUAGGGAUAACAGCGCAAUCCUAUUCAAGAGUCCAUAUCGACAAUAGGGUUUACGACCUCGAUGUUGGAUCAGGACAUCCCGAUGGUGCAACCGCUAUCAAAGGUUCGUUUGUUCAACGAUUAAAGUCCUACGUGAUCUGAGUC
RNAcentral lists this ribosomal RNA (531 nucleotides) under Rucervus duvaucelii (barasingha). RNAcentral's name for it is "partial 16S ribosomal RNA". It matches the Rfam family "Bacterial large subunit ribosomal RNA", at positions 1857 to 2611 of the family's 2925-position model. The record is from RNAcentral. Lineage: Eukaryota; Metazoa; Chordata; Mammalia; Artiodactyla; Cervidae.